This 840-nucleotide ribosomal RNA is filed under the name Escherichia coli. RNAcentral's name for it is "partial 23S ribosomal RNA". It matches the Rfam family "Bacterial large subunit ribosomal RNA", at positions 419 to 1258 of the family's 2925-position model. Lineage: Bacteria; Pseudomonadati; Pseudomonadota; Gammaproteobacteria; Enterobacterales; Enterobacteriaceae. The record is from RNAcentral.
GGGACACGUGGUAUCCUGUCUGAAUAUGGGGGGACCAUCCUCCAAGGCUAAAUACUCCUGACUGACCGAUAGUGAACCAGUACCGUGAGGGAAAGGCGAAAAGAACCCCGGCGAGGGGAGUGAAAAAGAACCUGAAACCGUGUACGUACAAGCAGUGGGAGCACGCUUAGGCGUGUGACUGCGUACCUUUUGUAUAAUGGGUCAGCGACUUAUAUUCUGUAGCAAGGUUAACCGAAUAGGGGAGCCGAAGGGAAACCGAGUCUUAACUGGGCGUUAAGUUGCAGGGUAUAGACCCGAAACCCGGUGAUCUAGCCAUGGGCAGGUUGAAGGUUGGGUAACACUAACUGGAGGACCGAACCGACUAAUGUUGAAAAAUUAGCGGAUGACUUGUGGCUGGGGGUGAAAGGCCAAUCAAACCGGGAGAUAGCUGGUUCUCCCCGAAAGCUAUUUAGGUAGCGCCUCGUGAAUUCAUCUCCGGGGGUAGAGCACUGUUUCGGCAAGGGGGUCAUCCCGACUUACCAACCCGAUGCAAACUGCGAAUACCGGAGAAUGUUAUCACGGGAGACACACGGCGGGUGCUAACGUCCGUCGUGAAGAGGGAAACAACCCAGACCGCCAGCUAAGGUCCCAAAGUCAUGGUUAAGUGGGAAACGAUGUGGGAAGGCCCAGACAGCCAGGAUGUUGGCUUAGAAGCAGCCAUCAUUUAAAGAAAGCGUAAUAGCUCACUGGUCGAGUCGGCCUGCGCGGAAGAUGUAACGGGGCUAAACCAUGCACCGAAGCUGCGGCAGCGACGCUUAUGCGUUGUUGGGUAGGGGAGCGUUCUGUAAGCCUGCGAAGGUG